This 253-nucleotide ribosomal RNA is filed under the name uncultured bacterium. RNAcentral describes it as "partial 16S ribosomal RNA". It matches the Rfam family "Bacterial small subunit ribosomal RNA", at positions 524 to 776 of the family's 1533-position model. The record is from RNAcentral.
UACGGAGGGUGCAAGCGUUAUCCGGAUUCACUGGGUUUAAAGGGUGUGUAGGCGGGCUGAUAAGUCAGUGGUGAAAGCCCAUCGCUCAACGGUGGAACGGCCAUUGAUACUGCAAGACUUGAAUUAUUAGGAAGUAACUAGAAUAUGUAGUGUAGCGGUGAAAUGCUUAGAGAUUACAUGGAAUACCAAUUGCGAAGGCAGGUUACUACUAAUUGAUUGACGCUGAUGGACGAAAGCGUGGGGAGCGAACAGG